AUGCAGACGGGGAGCAGAAGUGAUGAUUGGAUGCUACGGGGAAACAAGUUAUUCAAUGAGGGGCAAUUCGAGAUGGCUACUAUGUGCUUUGAAAAGGCCGGUGAUGCACAUAGAGAGAAGUUGGCAACAGCUGCUGGACUUGUAGCGACUGCUAACCGUGUCAUCUCAACAAAUUCGGAGUUGGGCAAGGCUUCAUUGCAAACAGCAUCAGAGAUUUAUGAGUCCAUAGGCAUGCAUGAGAAAGCUGCUACUUGCUAUAUCAAAUUAGGUGACUACAAAAAAGCAGGUAUGGUCUAUAUGCAAAAAUGUGUUACUUCUAAACUUGAGGAUGCUGGUGAUUGUUUUGCUAUGGCUGAAUGCUGGUCGGAGGCAACUGAAGUGUUCUUGCAAGCUAAAUGUUACACAAAGUGUUUCUCCAUGUGCUCGAAAGGAAAUAAAUUAUUCAAUCUGGGCCUAUAG
Molecule: ribosomal RNA, 459 nt
Filed under: Triticum aestivum (bread wheat)
Lineage: Eukaryota; Viridiplantae; Streptophyta; Magnoliopsida; Poales; Poaceae
Description: partial small subunit ribosomal RNA
Source: RNAcentral